AGUCCUUGACAUAUAAGCGACGCUAUUUGUCUGUUAUUGGAUAAUAGUAGAGGCUUAUAU
Molecule: ribosomal RNA, 60 nt
Filed under: uncultured organism
Description: partial 16S ribosomal RNA
Source: RNAcentral